CCGCCUGAGCUGGUGCAUUUCAAAGCGCUGCCUGGGUGGAGAAGCUGUUCCGAGAGAAGCAGCGGUGUGACCCUGCUCUUGCAGGCAUGUGAUGAAUAUUUCAUAGCCCAGAUGUAAUCCUGUCCACAAUUUUCUCUCCUUCCGGCUCGCCAGCACCCCUCUCCUCACGGUCCUCCACCUCUACCCCACCCCAGUCCCCAACCGUUCCCAAGUCAGGAAAAUCAGUCAAAACAUUUAUCAAGAAUCGGUAUGAACCAGCCAAGCGCUGUGAAGAGCUAAUCUGUGCAGAGCUAAUAAGAAUGAACAAAGUCACCACAGACUUCGCCAUGGGCAUCGCUGAUAAGGAUUUGUCAGAAGAAUUGCAGUCAGUAGAUGGGGAAAAAUCAUUCCUGGGCCACAGAAGGGAUAACUGAGACUCAGAGAAGCAAGUCUAGGACCCUUGGACACUUGUUCCAGAUCAGAAGAGACGCUGUCUGAAGCCGCUCCAAGGAGUUGGAACCUAACGGAAGGAAUGGGAUGGGAGACCUGGCUUCAUUUGAAUUUUCCCCAGAGCUAGCAGCCUUCCUCCCAGAGUCCCAGGGAGGGAGGGGCUCAGCCUCACCCAGCGAGGACCGCCCUGACGUCCACCCACUUGACAGCCAGUUAGGACAGCCCACCCCUCUGGUCCACCUCCUGGAAAGUGGGCAUAACUUCAGGUUGAACCCGAAAUGUAAAUAUCCUAAUUGGCAUCUUAUUAGUACAAGCAGAAAAGCCCAUUGUUAUGGAAGAGAAAUCUCCCAAUCCCCCACCAAUUAAUCUUUAGCUACAGGAGGCUCGUGCUCACCAUAUCAAUGGGAGCUGGGGCUCAGGAGUGAGCUGCGGAAGAGGGGACAGUGACAGCAGCAGGUGUGACUGCAGAAUCUCGGAGCUGGAGAACACCGUCCUCAUGGGGUUAAUAGUCUGGCCACCCCCUGGGGAGUGUCCCUACGGUGAGAACAUCUGCUGGUGGUCCAUCCACAGGGAGGCUGCCGUGGAGGAGAGGACACGGGUGGUGGAGGAUUGUGGUGGACAUUUGUUUUGUCCUUUCCUUUGUGGGGCCUCUGCAGCAUCGAGCUGCUUUGCUAGUCGUAUGGGGAUUCCCCGUCAUUUGAGUCGUGGCGGGAGGCAGACUGUGCUUUCCUCUGAAGGAAUGGAAAAUUCCCACUACUUGCUUUCCAAGCAGGGCUCACAUAUGCCCCAGGCUGGGCCAAUCUGGUGCUCCCACUCUCAGCUGACCGACCCAGGAGGCAGAUGGUGGCAGAGACAUGUGAUUCCAGUGACGGCCACUAGUGAGAUUGCUGGUCCCAUCCGUGGGGUAGGAGUUCUAUUCUGUGACCCGAUUUUGCUGGUGCUCCUGGCCGCAAAGUCUAUCUUCCCUUUACCCAUUUUCUUUCUUUAAAAAAAUUUUUUAAGUUUAUUUUAAGAGAGAGAGAGUGAGUGCACUAGCAGGGGAGGGGCAGAGAGAAAGAGAGACAGAAUACCACCAAGUAGGCUCUGCGCCAGCAGCACAGAGCCCAAUGGCAGGGCUUGAACUCACAAACUGUGAGAUCAUGACUUGAGUGGACAUCAAGACUCAGACGCUUAACCAGCUCACCACCCAGGCGCCCUUCUGUCUUCCCUUUGCCCAUUUUCUAAGCCUCAUUUUCUGAUGACCUUCCUGAUAACUGGGAACCAUUGGACAUCUUUUAAAUAAAUUCAUUUUCUGCUUAAAUCUGCCAGGAAUCUGUUCUGUUGCUUGGAAAUAACACACCUGACUACAAAACUACAUUUUAUGGGUCAGAACAAGAGGUGAGGAGGGAAGUUCAGAUUUCUGGAGAGGCUGGCAUGGGCUGAUCUCAGAAAUUGUUUCAUUUGAUCCUACAAGACCAUUUGAAACAUCUACUGAAUCAUUUCCUUUAUUUUACCAAUGAGGAAGCCACGGGCACAGAGUGUUGGCCAUCUGUAGGUGGUAGAACUGGGUUGAAGCCAAGUAGCUGU
Long non-coding RNA from Neofelis nebulosa (Clouded leopard), 1995 nucleotides. RefSeq lists it as uncharacterized. Lineage: Eukaryota; Metazoa; Chordata; Mammalia; Carnivora; Felidae. The transcript is spliced from 3 exons. The record is from RefSeq and is a predicted model, not a curated record.